UACAGAGGGUGCAAGCGUUAAUCGGAAUUACUGGGCGUAAAGGGAGCGUAGGUGGCUCGAUAAGUCAGAUGUGAAAUCCCCGGGCUCAACCUGGGAACUGCAUCUGAUACUGUUGAGCUAGAGUAUGUGAGAGGAAGGUAGAAUUCCAGGUGUAGCGGUGAAAUGCGUAGAGAUCUGGAGGAAUACCGAUGGCGAAGGCAGCCUUCUGGCAUAAUACUGACACUGAGGCUCGAAAGCGUGGGUAGCAAACGGG
Molecule: ribosomal RNA, 253 nt
Filed under: uncultured bacterium
Lineage: Bacteria
Description: partial 16S ribosomal RNA
Rfam family: Bacterial small subunit ribosomal RNA
Source: RNAcentral